ACCACUUUAAUAUGAUAGCCUGAGUAAGCAUUAAGUAUAUUUGAAUAUGGAAUUUAUAUAGAAAUUAUUAUCCAGUUUAAAAUUUUAAAGAUACAAGAAAUUAUAAUUUAGAUAGCUUAAUAAUAUAGGUUAAUUAGGUGCCAGCAACCGCGGUCAUACCUAAUAAAUUAGCUUACUAUCCACUAGUAAAUAAUAAAAUUAUUUAGAAAUAUUAUAAUACAUAGUGAAAUAUUAUUAAAUAUUGCACUCUAAUAAAAUUUUUAUAAAACCAAACCCAAAUACAAAACUAGGAUUAGAGACCCUACUAUUAUGGGCAAACUAAUUAUCUACUAAGUAGUAAUACCUCAUUUUAAAACUUAAAUGUUAUGGCGGCUAAGCAAAAUAAUUAGGGGAACUUACCAUAUAAUUGAUAGCCACCAAGCAUAAAUCUACUUACUUUAAUAAUUUGUAUACCGUUGUCUUCAUGAGCCCCCCAAAGCGGCUUAUUCACAUGUACAUCUAAAGACAAAUCAAGGUGCAGUCUAUAGGUAAGAAUUGAGGUGAGUUACAAUAACUACUUAUUUCGGAAAUGAUUCAUGAAAUAAAUCAAUAAGACGGACUUAAAAGUACUAUAAAAAUAAAAAACAUAAUAUAAGAAUAGUUUUUGAUUAGUGUA
This 655-nucleotide ribosomal RNA is filed under the name Isabellaria lutracana. RNAcentral describes it as "Sericata lutracana partial 12S ribosomal RNA". The record is from RNAcentral. Lineage: Eukaryota; Metazoa; Mollusca; Gastropoda; Stylommatophora; Clausiliidae.